Molecule: transfer RNA, 120 nt
Filed under: Sporisorium scitamineum
Lineage: Eukaryota; Fungi; Basidiomycota; Ustilaginomycetes; Ustilaginales; Ustilaginaceae
Description: transfer RNA-Ser(AGA)
Rfam family: tRNA
About the family: Transfer RNA (tRNA) molecules are approximately 80 nucleotides in length. Their secondary structure includes four short double-helical elements and three loops (D, anti-codon, and T loops).
Source: RNAcentral
GGCGCUUUGGCGGAGUGGUUAUCGCGUGGCACUAGAAUCAUUUAGCAUUCUAAAGCAAAUCCUGCUCAACAAGAUAUGCCAUUCCCUCUGGGAGCAUAGGUUCAAAUCCUGUAGGCGUCG